CUGUACAGCAUGGGGACCAAGUUAUACAUACAUGUAUACAUACUUUUUCCUCCCAUUUUUGUGUUGCGAUGUAAGUAUCUAGACAUAGUUCUCAGUGCUAUAUAGCAGGAUCUCAUUGUAAAUCCAUUCCAAGAGCAAUAGAUUGUAUCCGUUAACCCCAAGCUCCUGAUCCCUCCCACUCCCUCCCUCUCCCACUGGGCAGCCACAAAUCUAUUCUCCAAAUCUAUGAUUUUCUUUUCUGUGGAACCAUUCAUUUGUGCUGUAUAUUAGAUUCCAGUUAUAAGUGAUAUCAUAUUUCUCUUUCUCUCUCAGACUUAUUUCACCCAGUAUGAGAGUCUCUAGUUCAUCCAUAUUGCUGAAAAUGGCAUUAUGUCAUUCUUUUUUUUAUGGCUGAGUAGUAUUCCAUUGUAUAUAUAUUCUACAUCUUCCUGAUCCAAUCCUCUGCUGAUAGAUAUUUGGGUUGUUUCAAUGUCUUGGCUAUUGUGAAUAGUGCUGCAAUGAACAAGCGGGUGCAUGUGUCUUUUUCAAGGAAAGUUUUGCCCAGAUAUAUGCCCAAGAGUGGGACUGCUGGGUCAUAUGGUAGUUCUAUGCAUAGAUUUCUAAGGUACCUCCAUACUGUUCUUCAUAGUGGCUGUACCAAUUUACAUUCCCACCAACAGUGCAGGAGGGUUCCCUUUUCUCCACACCCUCUUCAGCACUUGUUAUUUGUGGACUUAUUAAUGAGGGCCAUUCUGACUUGUUGAGGUGGUAUCUCAUGGUAGUUUUGAUUUGCAUUCCUCUAAUAACCGGGGAUAUUGAGCAUUUUUUCAUGUGCUUGUUGGCCAUCUGUAUAUCUUCCUUGGAGAAUGGUAUAUUCAGAUCCUUUCAGCCAUUUUUCCAUUGGGUGGUUGGCUUUUCUGCUGUUGAAUUGUAUAAGUUGCUUAUAUAUUCUAGAGAUUAAGCCCUUGUCCAUUGCAUGUUCGAAACUAUUUUCUCCCAUUCUCUAAGUUGUCUUUUUGUUUCCUUUUUGGUUUCCUUUGCUGUGCAAAAUCUUGUCAGUUUGAUUAGGUCCCAUUGGUUUAUUUUUGCUGUUAUUCCUGUUGCCUUGGGAGACUGACCUGAGAAAAUAUUCAUGAGGUUGAUGUCAGAGAAUGUUUUGCCUAUGUUCUCUUCCAGGAGUUUGAUGGUGUCUUCUCUUAUAUUUAAGUCUUUCAGCCAUUUUGAGUUUAUUUUCAUGCAUGGUGUGAGGGUGUGUUCUAGUUUCAUUGCUUUGCAUGCAGCUGUCCAGGUUUCCCAGCAAUGCUUGCUGAAUAGACUUUUUCCCAUUUUAUGCUCUUGCCUCCUUUGUCAAAAAUUAAUUGACCAUAGGUGUCAGGGUUUAUUUAUGGGUUCUCCAUUGGUCUGUAUGUCUGUUUUGGUACCAGUACCACACUGUUUUGAUGACUGUGGCUUUGUAAUAUUGCUUGAAAUCUGGGAGAGUUAUGCCUCCUGCUUGAUUUUUGUUUUUCAGGAUUGCUUUGGCAAUUCUGGGUCUUUUGUAGUUCCAUAUAAAUGUUUGGAUUGUUUGUUCUAGUUCUGUGAAAAAUGUCAUGGGUAAAUUGAUAGGGAUUGCAUUGAGUCUGCAGAUUUCUUUGGGUAGUAUUGCCAUUUUUACAAUAUUAAUUUUUCCAACACAGGAUCAUGGAAUAUCUUUUUAUUUCUUUACAUCUUCUUUAAUUUCCUUGAUUAAUGUUUUUAGUUCUUGGCAUAUAAGUCCUUUGCCUCCUUGGUCAGGUGUAUUACCAGGUAUUUGAUUUUUGGGGGUGCAAUUUUAAAAGGUACUGCAUUUUUGUAUUCCUUUUCUAAUAUUUCAUUGUUAGUAUACAGAAAUGCGACUGAUUUCUGAAUGUUAAUCUUAUAGCCUGCUACUUUGCUGAAUUUGUUGAUCAGUUCAAGUAGUAUUUGGGUUGAGUCCUUAGGGUUUUCUAUGUAUAGUAUCCUGUCAUCUGCAUACAGUGACAGUUUUACCUCUUCUUUUUCUAUUUGGAUGCCUUUUAUUUCUAUUGUUUGUCUAAUUGCUGUGCCUAGGACUUCCAAAACUGUGUUGAAUAGCAGUGGCGAGAGUGGCAUUCCUGUCUUGUUCCAGAUUUGAGUGAGAAGUCUUUCAGUUUUUCCCCACUGAGUAUUAUAUUUGCUGUGGGUUUAUCAUAAAUGGCUUUGAUUAUUUAAGGAAUGUUCUCUCUAUACCCACUUUGGUGAGAGUUUUUAUCAUAAAUGGAUGUUGGGCUUUGUCAAAUGCUUUUUCUGCAUCUAUUGAGAUGAUCAUAUGAUUUUUGACUUUUCUUUUGUUAAUGUGGUGUAUAACAUUGAUUGAUUUGUGUAUGUUGAACCAUCCUUAUGAACCUGGGAUGAAUCCCACCUGGUCAUGGUGUAUGAUUUUUUUCAUAUGUUGUUGGAUUCGGUUGGCUAAAAUUUUGUUGAGACUUUUUGCAUCUAUAUUCAUCAAAGAUAUUGGCCGAUAGUUUUCUUUUUUGGUGGUAUCUUUGUCUGGGUUAGGAAUUAGGGUGUUGAUGGCGUCAUAAAAUGUUUUUGGGAGUGUUCCUACUUCUUCAACCUUUUAAAAAAGUUUAAGGAGGAUGGGCACCAGAUCCUCUUUGGAUGUUUGGUAGAAUUUUCCUGUGAAGCCAUCUGGUCCUGGGCUUUUAUUUUUUUAUGACAUCUUCAAUUUCAUUUUUAGUGAUCAGUCUGUUUAGUUGGUCUAUUUCUUCUUGAUGCAGUUUGGCAGGCUGUAAGAUUCUAGAAAGUUGUCCAUUUCUUCCAAUUGUCAAAUCUGUUGGCAUAUAGUUUUUCAUAGUAUUCUCUUAUGGUUUUUUGUAUUUCUGUAGUAUCCAUUGUGAUUUCUCCUUUUCCAUUUCUAAUUUUGUUUAUUUGGGUUCUUUCUCUCCUCUUCUUAGUGAGUCUAGCCAGAGGUUUGUCAAUUUUGUUUACCUUUUCAAAGAACUAGCUCUUGGUUUUAUUAAUUUUCUCUAUUGUUUUUUGAAUCUCUAUUUUAUUGAUUUCUUCUUUGAUUUUUAUGAUUUCCUUCCUUCUGCUGACUUUAGGUCUUUUUUUGUUCUCCUUUUUCUAAUUCAUUUAGGUGGUGGUUUAAGUUGUCAAGUUGAGAUUUUUCUUUUUUUUGGAGGAAGGCCUGUAUUGCUAUGAACUUCCUUCUGAGCACUGCUUUUGUGGCGUCCCAUGAUUUUGAGAGGUUGUGGCUUUAUUAUUGUUUGUCUCGAGGUAUUUUUUAAUUUCCUUCAUUGACCCAUUUUUUUUUUUUACCACUUUGUGUCUUUUGAUUGGACCAUUCAGUCCAUUGACAUUUAAGGUGAUAAUUGAUAGAUGAUUAUUUAUUGCCAUUUUAAACCUAGUGUUCCAGUUGAUUCUGUGGUUCUCCAUUCUUCCUUUAUUUUUUUGUUUGGAUGGUCUCCAAUUAUUUUCUGCUUGAGUGUUUUUCUUUUCAUUUUUUGCAAAUGUAGCAUUUGGUUUUGAUUUGUGCUUGCCCUGUUUUUUUAAGUAUGUUAACCACUUCCUAUAAUUGUGUGUUUUAGCCUGGUAGUCCUGUAGGUU
Molecule: long non-coding RNA, 3564 nt
Filed under: Sus scrofa (pig)
Lineage: Eukaryota; Metazoa; Chordata; Mammalia; Artiodactyla; Suidae
Description: lncRNA (ENSSSCG00015021631.1)
Source: RNAcentral